RNAcentral lists this transfer RNA (85 nucleotides) under Microbacterium phage PauloDiaboli. RNAcentral describes it as "tRNA-His". It matches the Rfam family "tRNA". Rfam says of the family: Transfer RNA (tRNA) molecules are approximately 80 nucleotides in length. Their secondary structure includes four short double-helical elements and three loops (D, anti-codon, and T loops). The record is from RNAcentral. RNAcentral also lists the same sequence under 2 other names. Lineage: Duplodnaviria; Heunggongvirae; Uroviricota; Caudoviricetes.
GCGGCUGUGGCUGAAUGGUUGAAGGCACCAGCUUGUGGAGCUGUUAGGUAACUCUCGUUGCGGGUUCGAAUCCCGUCAGUCGCCC